This 568-nucleotide ribosomal RNA is filed under the name uncultured bacterium. RNAcentral describes it as "bacterial SSU rRNA". It matches the Rfam family "Bacterial small subunit ribosomal RNA", at positions 340 to 908 of the family's 1533-position model. The record is from RNAcentral.
UACGGGAGGCAGCAGUGAGGAAUAUUGGUCAAUGGACGAGAGUCUGAACCAGCCAAGUAGCGUGAAGGAUGACUGCCCUAUGGGUUGUAAACUUCUUUUAUACGGGAAUAAAGUGAGGCACGUGUGCCUUUUUGUAUGUACCGUAUGAAUAAGGAUCGGCUAACUCCGUGCCAGCAGCCGCGGUAAUACGGAGGAUCCGAGCGUUAUCCGGAUUUAUUGGGUUUAAAGGGAGCGUAGGCGGACGCUUAAGUCAGUUGUGAAAGUUUGCGGCUCAACCGUAAAAUUGCAGUUGAUACUGGGUGUCUUGAGUACAGUAGAGGCAGGCGGAAUUCGUGGUGUAGCGGUGAAAUGCUUAGAUAUCACGAAGAACUCCGAUUGCGAAGGCAGCUUGCUGGACUGUAACUGACGCUGAUGCUCGAAAGUGUGGGUAUCAAACAGGAUUAGAUACCCUGGUAGUCCACACAGUAAACGAUGAAUACUCGCUGUUUGCGAUAUACAGUAAGCGGCCAAGCGAAAGCGUUAAGUAUUCCACCUGGGGAGUACGCCGGCAACGGUGAAACUCAAAGGA